CCUACGGGUGGCAGCAGUGGGGAAUAUUGGGCAAUGGGCGCGAGCCUGACCCAGCAAUGCCGCGUGAAGGAAGAAGGCUUUCGGGUUGUAAACUUCUUUGACAGGGGAAGAGCAGAAGACGGUACCCUGAAAACAAGCCACGGCUAACUACGUGCCAGCAGCCGCGGUAAUACGUAGGUGGCAAGCGUUGUCCGGAUUUACUGGGGGAAAAGGGCGUGUAGCCGGGAAGGCAAGUCAGAUGUGAAAUCUGGAGGCUCAACCUCCAAAUUGCAUUUGAAACUGUUUUUCGUGAGUACUGGAGAGGCAGACGGAAUUCCUUGUGUAGCGGUGAAAUGCGUAGAUAUCAGGAGGAACACCGGCGGCGAAGGCGGCCUGCUGGACCGCGACUGACGUUGAGGCUCGAAAGCGUGGGGAGCGAACAGGAUUAGAUACCCUGGUAGUC
RNAcentral lists this ribosomal RNA (442 nucleotides) under uncultured bacterium. RNAcentral describes it as "partial 16S ribosomal RNA". It matches the Rfam family "Bacterial small subunit ribosomal RNA", at positions 338 to 795 of the family's 1533-position model. The record is from RNAcentral.